UACGUAGGGGGCAAGCGUUAUCCGGAUUUACUGGGUGUAAAGGGAGCGUAGACGGCUGUGCAAGUCUGGAGUGAAAUGCCGGGGCCCAACCCCGGAACUGCUCUGGAAACUGUAUGGCUGGAGUGCAGGAGAGGUAAGUGGAAUUCCUAGUGUAGCGGUGAAAUGCGUAGAUAUUAGGAGGAACACCAGUGGCGAAGGCGGCUUACUGGACUGUAACUGACGUUGAGGCUCGAAGGCGUGGGGAGCAA
Molecule: ribosomal RNA, 248 nt
Filed under: uncultured Lachnospiraceae bacterium
Lineage: Bacteria; Bacillati; Bacillota; Clostridia; Lachnospirales; Lachnospiraceae
Description: partial 16S ribosomal RNA
Rfam family: Bacterial small subunit ribosomal RNA
Source: RNAcentral